CACACAAUGUCCGUGACAUCCAGCAUUGUAUAAUUUGUAUUCACAGUGCUAAAAUUAAUGUAUAUCUCUUGGCUGAAAAGGUUUUUGUUUGUAUUAGAGGUAAUAUGUAGGAAUUCGUUGUUAUUAGGCAGACUGUGUGAAGGAGGCUGUUUAAGAUUCAGUGAGUCACUUUUGUGAGAACCGCUCGAAAUGAUUCAAUCUGAUUCAUAAAUGAUUCUUUCAGAAGAUUCUUUGAAAAUGUCCGAAUCAAAAAAGAAGGAAGUGACGUCGCUGUUUUUUGGGCCUGUAGUUUAUCAGAACUGAUCCUUCUUUUCUCUGCUCCUGAAGUUUUGACAUUUUCCUGAAAUCUAGUGAAUGCACUCUGGACUGUUACUCACAGGGACGUUUGGUCUUCAUCACCUGUUGAAAGGCUGAAGUCUGCAGCAUGUCUCUGACAGUGUCUCAAGGUGAGGGUUUGACCGUCCUCACCAUCAUCUCAAACCCAAAGAGCAAAUGGCCCGUGCUGUGUCAGGUUUUGAGUUUUCUCUGCUGCAGUCCGGUGUGUUCUGUGUCUCAGAAUAUGAAAAAGAAGCUGACGAACAUCCACACUGCUCUUGGGACUAUGCAGAUAAUAGUUGGAGUCAUCAAUAUUGUGUUUGGGAUUUUGCUUAAAAGCUCUAUGAUAUGGAAUAACAUUACAGAAUCUGGGGUUGUUAUCUGGAUCGGUGGAGUGGUAAGAAUUUGUCUUAUUCUGC
Sinocyclocheilus grahami is the source of this 734-nucleotide long non-coding RNA. RefSeq lists it as uncharacterized. The record is from RefSeq and is a predicted model, not a curated record. NCBI's taxonomy places the organism in Eukaryota, Metazoa, Chordata, Actinopteri, Cypriniformes, Cyprinidae. The transcript has 3 exons.